Molecule: RNA transcript, 2949 nt
Organism: Nasonia vitripennis (jewel wasp)
Lineage: Eukaryota; Metazoa; Arthropoda; Insecta; Hymenoptera; Pteromalidae
Gene name: trafficking protein particle complex subunit 11-like
Exons: 4
Source: RefSeq, a predicted model, not a curated record
CAAGAAAUCUCACAUAUCUCGACUCUAAGAACUUUCUUGAGCUAGGAUGCCAUAAAAUAUAUUCAGUAUCUGUAUGCACUACUAAGACUGCUUUUACAAAUACAAUACUGAAUUUGGUCUCUGUUUUGGGCAACUUGAUGUAAGCGAUGCACCCAAAUCUCCUAAUAUGUUCUAGAUGGCACCUUGCUUUUGUUGAGAACUAUAAUAUUGGAACCUCAUAGUUAAUUGAUUUGUGCGGAGUGAUAUUAUAAGAAUGAACAGCUUCUACUGCUGCUAAUUCUCACAUACUUGGUGGUAAACCAGAAUCACACAUGUGCUCUGAUUGUUCUCUAAAUUGUUUUAUUGAACCUUUCGGCUACUCCAUUGAGUCCUGGAGUAUAGGGUGGACCCCAACCCGGUAAAUCUACCGCCGGUGUACUUAGUACCUCUAUCUGAUCUAACGUAACAUACUCUUGCAUUUACACCUAAAAAAUUUUGAGCAGAUAUCAGAUAAUUUUCAAACGCUUGGCCUGCUUUAUCUUUUGACUUUAGACAAUAUAUUCUGGCAUUCCAAGAAUAAUCGUCUACAAAUGUCAUAAUGUACCUCUUUUCCCCAGGUCGUGAAGUCGGAUUAAUUGGACCCAUUAAAUCUGAAUGAAUAAUCUGCAAUGGCCUUUCUGCUCUGCAUCUAUUCUGUUUGAAUAGAGUUUUUUCCAUUUUUGACAAUAUACAUACUUCAAAAUCUCUUAUUGACUCAUCUAAUUUUACAUGAUCUAACUCUUUUCUUUCUUUUGUAACAUUUUUAAAUAGUUCAAAGAUGCAUGACCUAGUCUGAUGUGCCAUAGCAUUGCUUCAUUUUGUUUAACUUCUGAAUUUAAUAUAUCAGGUGGAUUUUCCACGAGUAACCCUUUCAACUUCUCAAUAGUACUUAAGUCAUCCACUUUGAUUGUUCUAUGGGACAUCAGGCUAGCAACACACUCUGUAGUUGUUUUUUCCUAUGAAUUUACAUAUUCUGCAUUCGAUUCAAUGAGUUCUUCAGACUUCUCCCUUUCAAUCACAUUUCGUUUUCUUUUGAUGUCUCUGUAUUAUACUCUGAAUUGUCUCCCUCCGAGACUGACGGUUGUUUAAUCUUAGGAUCCGUCUGUGAUUGCUUUGAAGACUCAUUGUCUAUCGCUAGACACGCUAUGCAGCUAUAGUUAUCAGACUCAUUUAUUAUAGCAUCAUUUUUGUUCGUUACUUUUUUAACUUCAAACCUAACUACCCAAUUCGGUUUUUCAUAAAUACCUUUAAAUAUAGUUUUAUCGUUUUCUUUAUUAUAUACUCUGAAUAUCUUAUCGUAUAGAUUUAUAUAUAACCCUGCAUCUAUUGAUCUUCGCAAUAAUAAUAGAUUUUCUGAAAUUUCUUUUGCUGCGAUUACAGUUGUUAAUUUAAUAGGGUUUUCAUCAGAAACAUUGUUUUUAAGCAAAAGAUUACCUCUACCAUCAAUCACGAUAUCAGCGAAAUCAUUUUCAUUGGAACUUUUAAUAACUCUCUUAUCAGAUAUUUUAAAAUCGCUCAGAAUAAAACUUUUAUUUACGAUAUGUUUAGUUGCUCCCGAAUCUGCUAUGAACUCUAUGUGCGCUUCAUUAUUGGAGUCAUUAUUAAUAUCUAAAAAAUCGUCGCUACGUACAUUAAAGCUGACUGACCAGCUAUGUGCCCAUUGGACGUUGAUUGACUAUCAUAAUUUUGGUUUACAUAACAAAAAACAAAAGUUUAUAAAGUUUCAGCCUUAAGAAAUUGAUUUUAUUAUGUCGGUGAUCAUGACAUGUUUGACCGCGCACCUGAGGCACCUGUUAUAAUAUCCACUUGACUGAUCGCAGCAUUUUAUUGUAUAUUAUGAUUAUAAUCACCUGAGAAAAAACCAGGCUUAAUAAAUUCAGAGACUUUUUUUGGCUCUCCCUCUCCACCUAAUAUAGACUCGCCCCGCUCGAGUUUCUUCGGGCGCGUCUGCGUGCAAACAAUCUCAGUAAUAGCGUUACGUAUAUGCAAACGCGUUACUGAGUUUAUCUUGUCGAGCGCGUCUUUUUCAGCAUGCUCGAGCCUCGCGCCGCAGUUGCCAGUUACUAUUCAUUCUCAACAGCCUACGCAUCGAUCUUGUGAGACAAGAAGACGUUCUACGCCACGUGUUCGUUACGAGAUCCUGAGGAAGAGAAGAGAAAAAUUCGUCAGGAAGAGAUUUUGAAGAUAACCAACAAGAAAAUGAAAGUCUCGAAGUUUCUGCAGGUAUACCUAGGUGACAACAGGACAGUAGGACAGAAAUUAUGGCGGAUCAUUAGAUCUAAACGAAAGACUGCAUUCAUAAGAGACUCGGGAACUGUUUUAUGGAACAAAAAAGUGAUAGUUCUAAGAAGCUUAGAUUUGAGUAAAUUGAAACAAAAAACUUUUGGAACAAAGCCCAUAAACCUAUAUUCACCUAAAAAACUAAAUCUAUAAAGCUACCUUAGAAGGGAGGAAUACAAAAAUAGCUAUAGUAUUGAUAACAAAGGAAGCCCCUCCACCUCCUGGUACUGAAGAUAUGGUAGCUACAGAGCGAGCAACUGCACUUUGUGCUGUAUGCGAGUUACCAGCAAAAACUCUUUAUUUUUUACCUUAUGCAGAUCAUUUAUUAGGCUACACAUUUAGAUUAGAGCAUAUUUUAUACAACUUAGCCCAAAGUUUUUAUCAUCAAGAAUAUCGAAUAGUAAAGAGUCAUAGAGAACAAUUAAACAAAACUGGCCAUCGAUACUUAUUUGCAAGACAUCAAUUCAAAAUGGCUUUUCUGAAGAUUGAAACAAUAUAUUGUAAACCAAAUUUAAUGUCAAAACUAUGUUCAAUUAAUUAUAAACUAUAUGCUGGACAAAAUUUUAGCAUGAGCAAAAUUUCAAGUUAUUUUAAAAUAAAAUACGUAUGAUUCGUCUUUCAGUUUGAAGCUAUUAAUCGCUUACUUAUACA